UACGUAGGUGGCGAGCGUUAUCCGGAAUGAUUGGGCGUAAAGGGUGCGUAGGUGGUUUCUUAAGUCAGAGGUGAAAGGCUACGGCUCAACCGUAGUAAGCCUUUGAAACUGGGAAACUUGAGUGCAGGAGAGGAGAGUGGAAUUCCUAGUGUAGCGGUGAAAUGCGUAGAUAUUAGGAGGAACACCAGUUGCGAAGGCGAUUCUCUGGACUGUAACUGACGCUGAGGCUCGAAAGCGUGGAGAGCAAACAGG
Molecule: ribosomal RNA, 252 nt
Filed under: uncultured bacterium
Lineage: Bacteria
Description: partial 16S ribosomal RNA
Rfam family: Bacterial small subunit ribosomal RNA
Source: RNAcentral